GUCUUAUUACCUUAUCGUUUGGGGGUCGGUGGAAGGCUGGUUAAACCGUUUGGUUUUCGACCACUACGACCCGGGUUCGAUUCCCGCAUUGGACA
This 95-nucleotide transfer RNA is filed under the name Cordylochernes scorpioides. Its description in RNAcentral is "tRNA-Glu". Lineage: Eukaryota; Metazoa; Arthropoda; Arachnida; Pseudoscorpiones; Chernetidae. The record is from RNAcentral.